CUCUCUUUCUCUUGGAUAUAUUUUCCUCUUUCCCUUUCUGCUUACCUCGGGGAGAUCCUAAUGUAAAAAACAGUGACUUAUA
Sinocyclocheilus grahami is the source of this 82-nucleotide long non-coding RNA. RefSeq lists it as uncharacterized. The record is from RefSeq and is a predicted model, not a curated record. The transcript has 3 exons. Lineage: Eukaryota; Metazoa; Chordata; Actinopteri; Cypriniformes; Cyprinidae.